RNAcentral lists this ribosomal RNA (1849 nucleotides) under Rhynchitini gen. sp. DDM-2009. RNAcentral describes it as "eukaryotic LSU rRNA". It matches the Rfam family "Eukaryotic large subunit ribosomal RNA", at positions 52 to 1592 of the family's 3401-position model. The record is from RNAcentral. Lineage: Eukaryota; Metazoa; Arthropoda; Insecta; Coleoptera; Attelabidae.
GGAGGAAAAGAAACUAACUAGGAUUCCCUUAGUAGCUGCGAGCGAACAGGGAAAAGCCCAGCACCGAAUCUUGCGGCCGGUAACGGUCGCCGAGAAAUGUGGUGUUAGGGAGGAUCCGUUAUCUCGAGGUAAUACGGUGCGUCCAAGUCCUUCUUGAACGGGGCCACAGCCCAUAGAGGGUGCCAGGCCCGUAGCGACUGCCGUUUACAGCGAGAGGGUCUCUCCUCAGAGUCGGGUUGCUUGAGAGUGCAGCCCUAAGUGGGUGGUAAACUCCAUCUAAGGCUAAAUAUGACCACGAGACCGAUAGCGAACAAGUACCGUGAGGGAAAGUUGAAAAGCACUUUGAAGAGAGAGUUCAAGAGUACGUGAAACCGUUUAGGGGUAAACCUGAGAAACCCGAAAGGUCGAAAGGAGAAAUUCAUUCGCGUUUCGGCCGGCGGUGACGGGCGUUAGAGUGACGUCGAGCUUCGUGCGAGACGCGCCUUUCGUUCGUCUUACCGUUGUCGAACGCGUGCACUUUUCUCCUAGUAGGACGUCGCGAUCCGUUGGGUGCGGGUAUAAGGCCUCCGGUGGAGUCCUCGAGUCGUUUCGUAUUCGAGAACCCGGGGUGUCCCUACCUGCUCGCUCGACGGUAUAAUGAUGGCGCGGAGCCGCUACCYGUUAGCGUUCGGCCCGCGGCAAGCAAGUCGGGUGUGUCGGCCUCCGGACCUAGCGCCGGUUCUGACCCCCGRCUACUGUUGGCCGCGGUGUUCUCGGACAGACUCCGUACACGCCGAUCGGCGACGCUUUAGCUUUGGGUACUUUCAGGACCCGUCUUGAAACACGGACCAAGGAGUCUAGCAUGUGCGCGAGUCAUUGGGACAUAACUAAACCUAAAGGCGYAAUGAAAGUAAAAGUUUGCCUCGCGCAAACCUAGGGAAGAUAGGCGGUUUGCCCUUAAAAGUGGCCGCCUCGCACUCCCGGGGCGUCUCGUUCUCAUCGCGAGAUGAGGCGCACCAAGAGCGUACACGCUGGGACCCGAAAGAUGGUGAACUAUGCCUGGUCAGGACGAAGUCAGGGGAAACCCUGAUGGAGGUCCGUAGCGAUUCUGACGUGCAAAUCGAUCGUCGGAACUGGGUAUAGGGGCGAAAGACUAAUCGAACCAUCUAGUAGCUGGUUCCCUCCGAAGUUUCCCUCAGGAUAGCUGGCGCUCGUAGCGCACGAGUCUCAUCCGGUAAAGCGAAUGAUUAGAGGCAUUGGGGUCGAAACGACCUCAACCUAUUCUCAAACUUUAAAUGGGUGAGAUCUCCGGCUUGCUCGAACUCAUGAAGCCGCGAGACACGGAUCAGAGUGCCAAGUGGGCCAUUUUUGGUAAGCAGAACUGGCGCUGUGGGAUGAACCAAACGCCGAGUUAAAGCGCCUAAAUCGACGCUUAUGGGAUACCAUGAAAGGCGUUGGUAACUUAAGACAGCAGGACGGUGGCCAUGGAAGUCGGAAUCCGCCAAGGAGUGUGUAACAACUCACCUGCCGAAGUUACUAGCCCUGAAAAUGGAUGGCGCUGAAGCGUCGUGCUUAUACUCGGCCGUCAGCGGCAUGUGCGAACGUCCUUCGCGGGACGUUCAUGAAGCUCUGACGAGUAGGAGGGUCGCGGCGGUGAGCGCAGAAGGGCUGGCCGUGAGGCCGUCUGGAGCCGCCGUCGGUGCAGAUCUUGGUGGUAGUAGCAAAUACUCCAGCGAGGCCCUGGAGGACUGACGUGGAGAAGGGUUUCGUGUGAACAGCCGUUGCACACGAGUCAGUCGAUCCUAAGCCCUAGGCGAAAGCCGAUGUUGAUGYGGUGUUGAUUUAUGAGUUUUUUGUUUUAACUAUAUAU